Molecule: ribosomal RNA, 414 nt
Filed under: uncultured eukaryote
Lineage: Eukaryota
Description: eukaryotic LSU rRNA
Rfam family: Eukaryotic large subunit ribosomal RNA
Source: RNAcentral
AGUCUAACAUGUAUGCGAGUCUAAGAGUGUUAAAACUUGAAUAGGCGUAAUGAAAGUAAGAUGGUAAGAAAACCGUAAGGUUAGCAUUAUCGAUCACUCCAGAUCCUCGAGUGAAGGAAGUGAAUAGUAGCAUAUAUGAUAGAACCCGAAAGAUGGUGAACUAUACUUGAGUAGAAUGAAGUCAGAGGAAACUCUGAUGGAAGUUCGUAGGGGUUCUGACGUGCAAAUCGAUCUUUAAACUUGAGUAUAGGGGCGAAAGACUAAUCGAACCAUCUAGUAGCUGGUUCCCUCCGAAGUUUCCCUCAGGAUAGCUGGAACUUUAACGAAUAGUUUUAUCAGGUAAAGCGAAUGAUUAGAAGCUCUGGGGAUGAAACAUCCUCGACUUAUUCUCAAACUUUAAAUAGGUAAGAUGAC